RNAcentral lists this ribosomal RNA (253 nucleotides) under uncultured bacterium. Its description in RNAcentral is "partial 16S ribosomal RNA". It matches the Rfam family "Bacterial small subunit ribosomal RNA", at positions 524 to 776 of the family's 1533-position model. The record is from RNAcentral.
UACAGAGGUCUCAAGCGUUGUUCGGAUUCAUUGGGCGUAAAGGGUGCGUAGGCGGCGGGGCAAGUCAGGUGUGAAAUCCCGGAGCUCAACUCCGGAACUGCACUUGAUACUGCCUUGCUAGAGUACUGGAGAGGAGACUGGAAUUUACGGUGUAGCAGUGAAAUGCGUAGAUAUCGUAAGGAAGACCAGUGGCGAAGGCGAGUCUCUGGACAGUUACUGACGCUGAGGAGCGAAAGCGUGGGGAGCGAACAGG